UUGAAAGCUGGCGGCAGGCCUAACACAUGCAAGUCGAGCGGAUGAAGGGAGCUUGCUCCUGGAUUCAGCGGCGGACGGGUGAGUAAUGCCUAGGAAUCUGCCUGGUAGUGGGGGAUAACGUCCGGAAACGGGCGCUAAUACCGCAUACGUCCUGAGGGAGAAAGUGGGGGAUCUUCGGACCUCACGCUAUCAGAUGAGCCUAGGUCGGAUUAGCUAGUUGGUGGGGUAAAGGCCUACCAAGGCGACGAUCCGUAACUGGUCUGAGAGGAUGAUCAGUCACAAUGGAAAUGAGACAAGGUCCAGACUCCUAAGGGAGGCAGCAGUGGGGAAUAUUGGACAAUGGGCGAAAGCCUGAUCCAGCCAUGCCGCGUGUGUGAAGAAGGUCUUCGGAUUGUAAAGCACUUUAAGUUGGGAGGAAGGGCAGUAAGUUAAUACCUUGCUGUUUUGACGUUACCAACAGAAUAAGCACCGGCUAACUUCGUG
RNAcentral lists this ribosomal RNA (483 nucleotides) under uncultured bacterium. RNAcentral describes it as "partial 16S ribosomal RNA". It matches the Rfam family "Bacterial small subunit ribosomal RNA", at positions 30 to 507 of the family's 1533-position model. The record is from RNAcentral.